RNAcentral lists this ribosomal RNA (253 nucleotides) under uncultured bacterium. RNAcentral describes it as "partial 16S ribosomal RNA". It matches the Rfam family "Bacterial small subunit ribosomal RNA", at positions 524 to 776 of the family's 1533-position model. The record is from RNAcentral.
UACGUAGGUGGCGAGCGUUGUCCGGAAUCAUUGGGCGUAAAGCGCGCGUAGGCGGCCCGGUAAGUCCGUUGUGAAAGUCAAAGGCUCAACCUUUGAACGCCGAUGGAUACUGCCGGGCUAGAGUCCGGAAGAGGCGAGUGGAAUUCCUGGUGUAGCGGUGGAAUGCGCAGAUAUCAGGAGGAACACCAAUAGCGAAGGCAGCUCGCUGGGACGGUACUGACGCUGAGGCGCGAAAGCGUGGGGAGCGAACAGG